AGGAAAUGAUGCAUUCUGACAAUGUUUCACCUAAUGCCGGGGACAGACCAGCAGAAAUAACUCAUACCAGCAGAUGUACAGGUGUCGGUUUCUGCAGCAUGGAGGCAAUGGGGCAGCUGAGCUCCUGUCUGCAAGUAAGUGAAGAGCAUUUGGCUGGCACCUUUGCAAUAGGAGCAUCCCAGAUGCGUUGUUUUACUGGUGAAAUGUGUGCUGUCUGGGUGCAGGCCCUCUCCCACCGUCUCUGUGUUAAACACGUGGCACUGCAGCGAUGGGUGGGUUAGAAAUGCUUACGGGAUGAUUCAAUGUCAUGUUGACAAUAGUAGUUGGAUGUAAAGCCGGGAUAACAG
This 347-nucleotide long non-coding RNA is filed under the name Gallus gallus (chicken). The record is from RNAcentral. Lineage: Eukaryota; Metazoa; Chordata; Aves; Galliformes; Phasianidae.